This 496-nucleotide ribosomal RNA is filed under the name uncultured bacterium. RNAcentral's name for it is "partial 16S ribosomal RNA". It matches the Rfam family "Bacterial small subunit ribosomal RNA", at positions 29 to 507 of the family's 1533-position model. The record is from RNAcentral.
AUGAACGCUGGCGGCGUGCCUAAUACCUGCCAGUCGAGCGAACAGACGAGGAGCUUGCUCCUCUGACGUUAGCGGCGGACGGGUGAGUAACACGUGGAUAACCUACCUAUAAGACUGGGAUAACUUCGGGAAACCGGAGCUAAUACCGGAUAAUAUAUUGAACCGCAUGGUUCAAUAGUGAAAGACGGUUUUGCUGUCACUUAUAGCUGGAUCCGCGCCGCAUUAGCUAGUUGGUAAGGUAACGGCUUACCAAGGCAACGAUGCGUAGCCGACCUGAGAGGGUGAUCGGCCACACUGGAACUGAGACACGGUCCAGACUCCUACGGGAGGCAGCAGUAGGGAAUCUUCCGCAAUGGGCGAAAGCCUGACGGAGCAACGCCGCGUGAGUGAUGAAGGUCUUCGGAUCGUAAAACUCUGUUAUUAGGGAAGAACAAAUGUGUAAGUAACUAUGCACGUCUUGACGGUACCUAAUCAGAAAGCCACGGCUAACUACGUG